GCCACAACAACCGGAGGCCGUCGCCACAACAACCGGAGGCCGUCGCCAUAACAACCGGAGGCCGUCGCCAUAACAACCGGAGGCCGUCGCCACAACAACCGGAGGCUGCAUCCAUCACAACAAUAGGCUGGUCUCUAAACAACAUGUUCUGCCCCUGUUGUCAUAGUGCCGUCCCCCCGUCCCCCCCCCCAGUCUGGCAGGGCGGGGCUCCAGUCACAGCUGAGAUCCUUUACACUGCAGAGACUCACGUUCUCUACUUUUAAAACACAACGUUGGUGCAAAUACUUCUGUCUUUAAACAUCAAAAACGAGCCAUAAAUCAGCAUCUCUAUAUCGUUAAACUGCUUCUCCACAAUACCACCGGAAGGUAUUUGUGCCAAGGCAGAGAGGAGAGCACACACACACACACACACACACACACACACACACACACACACACACACACACAGUAAGAACGUCCUUGAGUAAACAGCUACAUUGGAACUGGCAGCUCCCUCUGUAUUGCAGAUUAAACACAGAGAAAAAUAACGUUUCAGUGCAAAGUGGAAGAAAAACAACAACAUGACAAUAAAACAACGAAAUAAAACACAGAAAUGAUUGGAAUUCCAAUAACAGGGACCAUGAAUGAAAUAGACACAAGCUUUUUGUUUAGUUUUUUAGGUUUCAGUUUUGAAGCAUAAUAAGGCAUUUUUUGCUGUCCUUCACAUUAUAGAAUUGUCCUGCGUGAUUCAAGUAUACCAACUGAUAUGUGUGUUGUUUAGGAGCGGAAAAACACCGUGGAUAUAUGUGCAGGGAAAAAAACAUAACGCAUUUUCCACAGGGGGGUGACCCCCCACUUCCUGUACGUAUU
Molecule: long non-coding RNA, 849 nt
Organism: Oncorhynchus tshawytscha (Chinook salmon)
Lineage: Eukaryota; Metazoa; Chordata; Actinopteri; Salmoniformes; Salmonidae
Source: Ensembl